GACGAACGCUGGCGGCGUGCCUAAUACAUGCAAGUCGAGCGAAUCAGUAGGAGCUUGCUCCUAUUGGUUAGCGGCGGACGGGUGAGUAACACGUGGGCAACCUGCCUGUAAGACUGGGAUAACUUCGGGAAACCGGAGCUAAUACCGGAUAAUCCUUUUCCUCUCAUGAGGAAAAGCUGAAAGACGGUUUCGGCUGUCACUUACAGAUGGGCCCGCGGCGCAUUAGCAGUUGGUGAGGUAAUGGCUCACCAAGGCAACGAUGCGUAGCCGACCUGAGAGGGUGAUCGGCCACACUGGGACUGAGACACGGCCCAGACUCCUACGGGAGGCAGCAGUAGGGAAUCUUCCACAAUGGACGAAAGUCUGAUGGAGCAACGCCGCGUGAGCGAU
RNAcentral lists this ribosomal RNA (390 nucleotides) under uncultured bacterium. RNAcentral describes it as "bacterial SSU rRNA". It matches the Rfam family "Bacterial small subunit ribosomal RNA", at positions 28 to 409 of the family's 1533-position model. The record is from RNAcentral.